CCAACCUGUGUUUAUAAGAAAGCGCAUCUGUCAACGAGAUGCUGCUGCCAACAGAAUCGCCGCACUUCUGUCGAUGGCCUUUUGUCAUUUAUCGUCGUCGGAGAUCUUUCCACCGUGUUGAUCAUAUAUCAGAAAAAAGUGGGCGUCCCAAUACUUUUGAAGCACAGAUUAAGCUCUCAGAUGGCGCUGCAGAUUGAGUGGACCCCAUGCAGAGCUCUUGGGCCCCCGGGGGGAAAUAUACAAUGAUGACACGCAGCAUCAGGACCACAAUCUUCCUCGGGGAUAUUUUACCAAGAGGGGAGAGGGUCUUUUUUUCCCCUCUGCGCGACAUGUGGGAGAAAAUGUGGUCCAGGAAAGGAGACCACCAGACGGGGGGACUUUUGUUCUCUCUCUGCACAACACCAGCGCUGCCAACACUUCCAUCAGCACCACGGAGACACACAGGCACAUUUGGGCAGCUCACCCUGCAACCAUGGUAACAAGAAGAAUUUUUACUCGUGGGCCGCGGCCAAUAGUGUGGCACUUCCCAGUGAGCCGGGUCCAAUAGGGGAGCGGUCUGCAGCCCGGCCCACUUGAAGGAACCAUGAUGGUACUGCUGCAAGGGUUUGGAGACGGAAGCUUGGCUGUUGCGCUAGUAUGAGCGUGUGUGUGUGUGUGUGUGUGUGUGUCAGAGACUGCAGCAUAAAAUGAGGAGAGGAUUCUCUCGGGUAGUAAAGCUCACUCCCUGUGCAACUACCUGAUGUUCAACACUACCAACUCACACAGUCGUUGGCGAUGUGCAGGUCGAUACUGAAAGAUCGAUACUGCCGAUACCAGAGCUUUAUAAUCUAAUCGUUACUUUUGAUACUUUAGUUCAGGGGUGUCCAAACUUUUUCCACCAAGGGCCGCAUGCUGAAAAGUCAAGGUAUGUGAAGGCCAUAUUGAUACAUAUAUAUAUACUUUUUUAAAGUUAAAAACAUAUACUGUGUCAGCUUUGUAUUAUAGGUGACUAAGUAUAUUAUUAUUAUUAUUAUUAUUAUUAUUAUUAUUAUUCCUGCCUCACAAUACGAAGGUCCUGCAGUCCUGGUUUCAAUCCAAGGCUCGGGAACUUUCUGUGUGGAGUUUGCAUGUUCUCCCCGUGAAUGCGUGGGUUCCCUCCGGGUACUCCGGCUUCCUCGCACUUCCAAAGACAUGCACCUGGGGAUAGGUUGAUUGGCAACACUAAAUUGGCCCUAGUGUGUGAAUGUAAGUGUGAAUGUUGUCUAUCUAUCUGUGUUGGCCCUGCGAUGAGGUGGCGACUAGUCCAGGGUGUACCCCGCCUUCCACCCGAUUGUAGCUGAGAUAGGCUCCAGAUAGGCUCCAAAAGGGACUAAGCGGCAGAAAAGGGAUGGAUGGAUGGAUGGAUGGAUUAUUAUUAUUCCCUCCAUCCUAUCUCAGCUAUUAUUAUUAUUAUUAUUUAAUUGACAUUUCAGCUUUUUCUCAUUACAUACCAAUUUUUUUUGCCCUUAGUCUUACAUUUUUAUUGUUGUUUCCUUCCCCAGGUAAGAAUAAAAUAACAAUAAUAAUAAUCAUACCAUUGUGUAAAUCCAUAACCUAGCGUGUCAAAAAAUGAUGCCUGUCAAAAAAAUAUAAACGUUCAGUUACACAUUUAACAGUGUUUUUGUUUAUUUUUUUAAAAUAUUUUAUUUCAUUUUGAGAGCUUUUAUUAUUUUACAUCAGGGGUGUCCAAGGACUUUUUAGUUCCCAUUGAAAAGUCAAUUAUAAGGGGCCAUUUUGAUAUAUUGUUUUAAUUUAUUGUUUUGAAUGCUAAAAGCAGAUAUAGACACAACUUUUUGUUAUAGUUAUAUUAUUAUGAAUUAUUAGUUUUAAAAUGUUUGGCUUUUUCUCAUUACAUUCUGAUUGUUUGCUCUAUUUUCUUAUUUUUUUACUGUUGUUUCCCCCUGUGUAAGAAUACAAUAAAAAAAAUAAUAAUAUGAUUGUGUAACUCCAUAACCUAGUGUGUAUAAAAGUCUACCUGACAACAAACAUGUAAGUUCAGUUGCACAUUUAACAGUGUUUAUUAUGACUAUUGUAAUUGUUUCUAAUUAAUGCACGAGUUAUAUUUAUUGCAUGUUUUUAAUUAACUAACUAACUAAACUUUUUUUGUUUGUUAAGAAUAUUUUAUAUUUAUUUUGAGAGAUUUUUCAUAUUUUACAUCUAUGGUGUCUAAACCUUUUCUACUGAGAAGUCAGGUAUGAGAGGCCAUGUUGAUAUAUUUUUUUAUUUUAAGAAAAAUGCUAAAAACAGAUAUAGACAUACAUUUUUGUUAUAGUUAUGUUAUUAUUAAUUAAUAAUUUUUAAAUGUUUAGCUUAUUCUCCUUA
Molecule: long non-coding RNA, 2340 nt
Organism: Nerophis ophidion (straightnose pipefish)
Lineage: Eukaryota; Metazoa; Chordata; Actinopteri; Syngnathiformes; Syngnathidae
Exons: 4
Source: RefSeq, a predicted model, not a curated record